Molecule: ribosomal RNA, 253 nt
Filed under: uncultured bacterium
Lineage: Bacteria
Description: partial 16S ribosomal RNA
Rfam family: Bacterial small subunit ribosomal RNA
Source: RNAcentral
UACGACGGGGGCUAGCGUUGCUCGGAAUCACUGGGCGUAAAGGGUGCGUAGGCGGGUCUUUAAGUCAGGGGUGAAAUCCUGGAGCUCAACUCCAGAACUGCCUUUGAUACUGAAGAUCUUGAGUCCGGGAGAGGUGAGUGGAACUGCGAGUGUAGAGGUGAAAUUCGUAGAUAUUCGCAAGAACACCAGUGGCGAAGGCGGCUCACUGGCCCGGUACUGACGCUGAGGCACGAAAGCGUGGGGAGCAAACAGG